This 465-nucleotide ribosomal RNA is filed under the name Vreelandella stevensii. Its description in RNAcentral is "partial 16S ribosomal RNA". It matches the Rfam family "Bacterial small subunit ribosomal RNA", at positions 338 to 795 of the family's 1533-position model. The record is from RNAcentral. Lineage: Bacteria; Pseudomonadati; Pseudomonadota; Gammaproteobacteria; Oceanospirillales; Halomonadaceae.
CCUACGGGAGGCUGCAGUGGGGAAUAUUGGACAAUGGGGGAAACCCUGAUCCAGCCAUGCCGCGUGUGUGAAGAAGGCCCUCGGGUUGUAAAGCACUUUCAGUGAGGAAGAACGCCUGGUGGUUAAUACCCAUCAGGAAAGACAUCACUCACAGAAGAAGCACCGGCUAACUCCGUGCCAGCAGCCGCGGUAAUACGGAGGGUGCGAGCGUUAAUCGGAAUUACUGGGCGUAAAGCGCGCGUAGGUGGCUUGAUAAGCCGGUUGUGAAAGCCCCGGGCUCAACCUGGGAACGGCAUCCGGAACUGUCAAGCUAGAGUGCAGGAGAGGAAGGUAGAAUUCCCGGUGUAGCGGUGAAAUGCGUAGAGAUCGGGAGGAAUACCAGUGGCGAAGGCGGCCUUCUGGACUGACACUGACACUGAGGUGCGAAAGCGUGGGUAGCAAACAGGAUUAGAUACCCUAGUAGUC